GUCCAGAGUGCUACGGGAGGCCUUUGGGCUCUAUUGUGCAUGCUCAGUGAGCCACUGAAGGUUUGGAGGUAGGAGAGGAUACAGAGAAGUACUUGAGAUAUACUGCCAGAAAGAAGCAUGGAGCAUGCCCAUGAAGGAUCUCUAGGUAGAGUGGCCGACCUGAUGAUGAAGGCUUCAUCCCGCCAUAGAAGCCAGAUCCUUCCCCUAGAGCACAGAAGGCUACAAAGACAGAGAUCCUUGGGCCUUAGCCCAGAGGCCCUGGAGGCAGUUUCCGGAGAGGUUGGGCUUAAAGGAAAACCAAACAUGGAGAGCUUUGAAUAUCUGCGUUUGGGAUGCAAGAGGUGCUUGAUAGAUGCUUCUUGAAUGGAUCAGAAUUUUCAUUUGCCUCCACCCCCAGCAGGACAUCCGCUAGUGGAAGGCCUGAAAGGUGGAGCAUCUUGUCUUCUGACAUGGCAGCACGCAAGUGACAAACGUGUUGUUGUCAUCAUAGACAAUCACGUAGUACAUUCAGCUGAGUGACCCUGGGCAAGUCAACAUCUUCGUUUCCGUACCAGGAAAAUGGUGGUGGGGGGGGACCAGAAGGCCUUUCAGGUCCCUUGUAAGCUCUUUUCAGUCCUUUUCCUCAUCUCCCAUCGCUCUCCUCUCCUCCUUCACCCCAUCUCCCAGGGCGAGGUGGCUUUACUCCUUACCAAGGCCAACCCCCUACCUCUUCAAGUGAUCCCUUUCCUUCCCUUCUCUUCCAAAAAACCCUCAUGAUCUCUCCAUUCAGGUUAAGUAUCAUCCCAUGUCUUUUCUGCCCUUUGUGGCUAAAUUCCUCAAGGCUUAGAGGUAAGAGAAUAUUAGCAACAAAGAGCAGAGCAGAGCAGAGCUUGGGAAUGCUGAGGAAUGUGAGGCCAGGCUGAGGGGCUUUUAGCACCAGGCUGAGAGUCUGUGUCUUAUCUUAGAGAUAAGAGGGAACCUCUGAAGCUGCUGGAGAACAAGGGGGAGGGGGUCAGCUCCAGGCUUGCAAAAUGGACAUUUGACAGCUGUGUGGAAGGAAGACUAGAGAGCAUAGAAUCCACAGGCAGGGAGUCCAGUUUAGAGGGGAACCUGGUAGACUAAGUGAGGAGUGAUGAGGGAAAGGAAGAAAGAAAGGAAGGCAGGAAGGAAGAGAGGGAGGGAGGAAGGAAAGAAGGAAAAGUAAGAAGGAAGGAAAGGAGGGAGGAAGGGAAGAAUAAAAAGAAGAAAGGAACAGAAAGAAGGAAGGAA
Molecule: long non-coding RNA, 1248 nt
Filed under: Phascolarctos cinereus (koala)
Lineage: Eukaryota; Metazoa; Chordata; Mammalia; Diprotodontia; Phascolarctidae
Description: lncRNA (ENSPCIG00000020759.2)
Source: RNAcentral